GAUGAACGCUGGCGGCGUGCCUAAUACAUGCAAGUCGAGCGAACGGACGAGGAGCUUGCUUUUCUGAUGUUAGCGGCGGACGGGUGAGUAACACGUGGAUAACCUACCUAUAAGACUGGGAUAACUUCGGGAAACCGGAGCUAAUACCGGAUAAUAUUUUGAACCGCAUGGUUCAAAAGUGAAAGACGGUCUUGCUGUCACUUAUAGAUGGAUCCGCGCUGCAUUAGCUAGUUGGUAAGGUAACGGCUUACCAAGGCAACGAUGCAUAGCCGACCUGAGAGGGUGAUCGGCCACACUGGAACUGAGACACGGUCCAGACUCCUACGGGAGGCAGCAGUAGGGAAUCUUCCGCAAUGGGCGAAAGCCUGACGGAGCAACGCCGCGUGAGUGAUGAAGGUCUUCGGAUCGUAAAACUCUGUUAUUAGGGAAGAACAGAUGUGUAAGUAACUGUGCACAUCUUGACGGUACCUAAUCAGAAAGCCACGGCUAACUACGUG
RNAcentral lists this ribosomal RNA (497 nucleotides) under uncultured bacterium. Its description in RNAcentral is "partial 16S ribosomal RNA". It matches the Rfam family "Bacterial small subunit ribosomal RNA", at positions 28 to 507 of the family's 1533-position model. The record is from RNAcentral.